GACGAACGCUGGCGGCGUGCUUAACACAUGCAAGUCGAACGGAAAGGCCCUGCUUUUGUGGGGUGCUCGAGUGGCGAACGGGUGAGUAACACGUGAGUAACCUGCCCUUGACUUUGGGAUAACUUCAGGAAACUGGGGCUAAUACCGGAUAGGAGCUCCUGCUGCAUGGUGGGGGUUGGAAAGUUUCGGCGGUUGGGGAUGGACUCGCGGCUUAUCAGCUUGUUGGUGGGGUAGUGGCUUACCAAGGCUUUGACGGGUAGCCGGCCUGAGAGGGUGACCGGCCACAUUGGGACUGAGAUACGGCCCAGACUCCGACGGGAGGCAGCAGUGGGGAAUAUUGCACAAUGGGCGGAAGCCUGAUGCAGCAACGCCGCGUGCGGGAUGACGGCCUUCGGGUGGUAAACCGCUUUCGCCUGUGACGAAGCGUGAGUGACGGUAAUGGGUAAAGAAGCACCGGCUAACUACGG
Molecule: ribosomal RNA, 467 nt
Filed under: uncultured bacterium
Lineage: Bacteria
Description: partial 16S ribosomal RNA
Rfam family: Bacterial small subunit ribosomal RNA
Source: RNAcentral